RNAcentral lists this transfer RNA (76 nucleotides) under Candidatus Dojkabacteria bacterium. RNAcentral describes it as "tRNA-Cys". It matches the Rfam family "tRNA". Rfam says of the family: Transfer RNA (tRNA) molecules are approximately 80 nucleotides in length. Their secondary structure includes four short double-helical elements and three loops (D, anti-codon, and T loops). The record is from RNAcentral.
GGUCACGUCGCCAAGUUGGUUAAGGCCGAGGUCUGCAAAACCUCUAUCGUGAGUUCGACUCUCACCGUGGCCUCCA